AUGAACGCUGGCGGCGUGCUUAACACAUGCAAGUCGAACGAUGAAGCCCAGCUUGCUGGGUGGAUUAGUGGCGAACGGGUGAGUAACACGUGAGUAACCUGCCCUUAACUCUGGGAUAAGCCUGGGAAACUGGGUCUAAUACCGGAUAGGAGCGCCUACCGCAUGGUGGGUGUUGGAAAGAUUUAUCGGUUUUGGAUGGACUCGCGGCCUAUCAGCUUGUUGGUGAGGUAAUGGCUCACCAAGGCGACGACGGGUAGCCGGCCUGAGAGGGUGACCGGCCACACUGGGACUGAGACACGGCCCAGACUCCUACGGGAGGCAGCAGUGGGGAAUAUUGCACAAUGGGCGAAAGCCUGAUGCAGCGACGCCGCGUGGGGGAUGACGGCCUUCGGGUUGUAAACCUCUUUCAGUAGGGAAGAAGCGAAAGUGACGGUACCUGCAGAAGAAGCACCGGCUAACUACGUG
Molecule: ribosomal RNA, 465 nt
Filed under: uncultured bacterium
Lineage: Bacteria
Description: partial 16S ribosomal RNA
Rfam family: Bacterial small subunit ribosomal RNA
Source: RNAcentral